CAGGAGGGCCUGCUGUACUGCGAUCCAUGGGGUCACAAAGAGUCGGCCACGACUAAAUGACAACACACUUCACUCACACAUAUAAAUAAAGAAUAUGGUAACACAUUUUACAAGAGGCUUUGCCUGCAAACCAGUCACUCAUAUUUUUGUUACUGCAAAGAGCUUUCAAGCACAUUUCUCAGCCAAAUGGGGCACAUCAUAAAGCCUGAAGAAUGGAAAGGACUGCAAUUCUGUAAAAUACUGAAACGGACAACAAAAAUGUGUUGGAUUAUGCUUUUCAAUUGACUUUAAUCAUUAUAUGACCUUUGCAAUAAAUAACCUUUUCAAUUUGA
Pogona vitticeps (central bearded dragon) is the source of this 332-nucleotide non-coding RNA. The record is from RefSeq and is a predicted model, not a curated record. Lineage: Eukaryota; Metazoa; Chordata; Lepidosauria; Squamata; Agamidae.